This 88-nucleotide small nuclear RNA is filed under the name Fukomys damarensis (Damara mole-rat). Its description in RNAcentral is "U2 spliceosomal RNA". It matches the Rfam family "U2 spliceosomal RNA". Rfam says of the family: U2 is a small nuclear RNA (snRNA) component of the spliceosome (involved in pre-mRNA splicing). Complementary binding between U2 snRNA (in an area lying towards the 5' end but 3' to hairpin I) and the branchpoint sequence (BPS) of the intron results the bulging out of an unpaired adenosine, on the BPS, which initiates a nucleophilic attack at the intronic 5' splice site, thus starting the first of two transesterification reactions that mediate splicing. Lineage: Eukaryota; Metazoa; Chordata; Mammalia; Rodentia; Bathyergidae. The record is from Rfam by way of RNAcentral.
AUCGCUUCUCGGCCUUUUGGCUAAGCUCAAGUGUAGUAUCUGUUCUCCGUGAAAGAAAUUACUACUCUGUAUUUUCGUCCAACAACCU